This 903-nucleotide long non-coding RNA is filed under the name Vitis vinifera (wine grape). RNAcentral describes it as "long non-coding RNA (VVIN_LNC006197)". The record is from RNAcentral. Lineage: Eukaryota; Viridiplantae; Streptophyta; Magnoliopsida; Vitales; Vitaceae.
GUGGACUUUAAAAUAUCCCUAGCAGAAGCGAUCAUACCCUCCAGCGGUACGCAACCCUCUGCACGCCUCCGAAGAGACGGGGCGCUUCCAUGCAAGGUGGUCAUCACCUCCACACAUGCACUACCUCGCAUCCCAGGGGGUUUCCUAUGGUGAAACCUCUCAAACUCUCAACUCUCAAUAGUCUACUAGCGUGCACAGUGAUGGUGUGGGUGCAUCCGAAACCCUAAGAAGCUAAAGCAAGAUAUGAAACACACUGGCCACACAAAUAUCCAUGAAACCUAGCUCCGGGCUAUAUAGGUCUUCAAUGAUCGGACUCCAAUCGACAUCAAAGUGUCGCUCUCCUCCAGAAUGCUCCCGUACAUCGAUAUAGCCCGUCGCUAGACCCUACUCCUAAUCUCUGGCUCGGUCAGAGAGCAAACACACAGAAGGUCUCACACUUGCAAUAGUGAGAACCGGGAUGAAAGGAAUGACCGAAACCAAGAGAGUUGGAGGUAAGGGGAUAUAUGUGCGGCCCACAUAGAUAGGCAACAUGCAAUCAUGCAUAAGGAAGGCAGUCAUGCACCAUACAGUCAAGCAGAGUACAGGUAUAUCACUCAUGUCCACACAAAAAGCUACAACUACCAGGAUGAAUAGCGAUAUGAACAUCAUGCUCAAAAGACGAUCAAGAUAAUAUGCAAGCUAGAGAAUCGACAUGUCAAAUUGAGUGAUAUAAAAUGGUGAGUGUAUGCAUGUGAAGUGAUCAGAAUAAUCAUGGAAAAAUCAGGAUCAAUGCGCUAAGCAAUACGAAAUGAUCAAUCACUAUAAGCAACAUGUCAAAAUCUCAAAUGAAUAUAUCAAUGAAGCACAAAGAAAAUAACUAUCUCGGAAUCCUCUAUCAAUACGAAUCAAUCAUCAUAAUCAUCA